Molecule: non-coding RNA, 29 nt
Filed under: Rattus norvegicus (Norway rat)
Lineage: Eukaryota; Metazoa; Chordata; Mammalia; Rodentia; Muridae
Source: RNAcentral
UAAAUAUACACCUCGCUAGCCAUUUGCGU